This 1304-nucleotide long non-coding RNA is filed under the name Sus scrofa (pig). RNAcentral's name for it is "lncRNA (ENSSSCG00005019813.1)". Lineage: Eukaryota; Metazoa; Chordata; Mammalia; Artiodactyla; Suidae. The record is from RNAcentral.
ACGGCUCACAGAGGAGGUGGCACUUAAGGCUGGCCGAGAUUCCAGCGGGUGGAGGCAGGUGGGGAGAGGCAUUUCAUCUGAGCCAACAGCUACCUCCUGGAUCCCCAGGAGUUAGCUGGGAACAGGCCUACUGCCCCAUCUACUUAAGGGGCCUAAAAGACAGUGGGAUUUCUCUUACGGGAGUUCCCGUCUGUGGCACAGUGGCUAAUGAAUCCGACUAGGAACCAUGAGGUUGCGGGUUCGGUCCCUGCACUUGCUCAGUGGGUUAAGGAUCCGGCGUUGCUGUGAGCUGUGGUGUAGGUUGCAGACGCGGCUCGGAUCCUGCGUUGAUGUGGCUGUGGUGUAUGCCGGGCGGCCACAGUUCCAAUUCGACCCCUAGCCUGGGAACCUCCAUAUGUCGCGGGAGCAGCCCAAGAAAUAGCAAAAAAAAAAGAUUUCUCUUACGGCUCCCAGAGGCCUCGUUGUCGACCCUUCUUUCAAAGGUCACAGGGUGUAAUGAUGGGAAGAUUGUGGGGGGGCCAAGCUGCUCCUCGCCUCGACAACCCCUACCCCCUCAGAAGUGACACAGAUGCCCACUGUGUGGGUCCUGCACCAGCGAAGCAGAAAGAGGCACUGCUACCAGUGAACACACAACACUGCACAGAAGGAUUCUAGAAACUGGUGGUCCGCUUCCUCACAGGAGGGCCCACGGGCAGAGAGAAGGGUGGGAACAAAGAAACAAGAGAUGAGGGAGGCGCGAGACAGGGGCCAGCCUGGCAAACCCUGCCUCAAGGCCGAUGCCGCCAGUGACAUCACGUAAAUGUCAGGUAGCCCUGGCGGGCCGAGCUGAGAGGGCACCCCGCCCACGACCCCGUCUAAGUCUGAGAAAACACCAGACAAGCUCAGACGGGGGGCUGUGGGACAGGAAACCUGGGCCGCGCUCCUCAAGCCUGCCAAGGUCAGGAAGAGCGAGAAACACUGAGGAACUGUCCCCAACCAGAGGCAGGGGACACGUGACCACUGCAUGCAACGCGGGACCUUGGAAUAGAUCCUGGAGCAGUACAAGGCCGUUAGUGGAAAACCAGUGAAAUCCAAACAAAACCUGGAGUUCAGGAGUUCCCGUUCUGGCACAGUGGAAACGAAUCCGACUAGGAACCAUGAGGUUACGGGUUCGAUCCUUGGCCUUGCUCAGUGGGUUAAGGAUGUGACGUUGCCAUGAGCAUCACUGCUGUAGGUUGCAGGCGCAGCUCGGAUUCUGUGUGGCUGUGGCUGUGGCGUAGGUCAGCGGCUAUGGCUCUGAUUGGUCCCCUAGCCUGGGAACCUCC